CCUUGAAGGGUGGUAAACGGCAGAGAAGGAGUCAUUCCAACAAUUUUUCACAGUCUCUUGCAGUUGUGCCAUAGGGACGCCAGCAAUCUUUUCCACAUAAUCGGGAGUAUACUUAUCCACGACCUUACGAAGGGCAACUAUCCCCACCACAUGAUUCGAGACAAACUCUUCGUCGAUCCAGUCAUUUCCAAACUGUAGCUGCUGUGGGCCAUUGAGCAAGAGCAAGAUUUGUUCCAUUAUUCGCUGCUACGUGCCUUGUUGCCCCCUGUUGCCGUUUCUGAUUUUCUAGGGGGGAAAAGAAGGGUUCCGAACCCAGGACCACUAUUCCCACCUUGCACCCCAAUGAAUAUUAUACCCAAUCCACAUCCAUUGCUGUGAACAUUGCAAUCAGCCGGUGAGCAACAAAGGAUAAUAAAACCAGAAUAGCUGGGUCAAUCGAUUCCAUACCUGC
RNAcentral lists this small RNA (451 nucleotides) under Histoplasma capsulatum. RNAcentral describes it as "hypothetical RNA". The record is from RNAcentral. Lineage: Eukaryota; Fungi; Ascomycota; Eurotiomycetes; Onygenales; Ajellomycetaceae. RNAcentral also lists the same sequence under 1 other name.